This 728-nucleotide ribosomal RNA is filed under the name uncultured Glomeromycotina. RNAcentral describes it as "SSU rRNA". It matches the Rfam family "Eukaryotic small subunit ribosomal RNA", at positions 373 to 1102 of the family's 1831-position model. Lineage: Eukaryota; Fungi; Glomeromycota. The record is from RNAcentral.
GGGCACGACACCGGAGAGGGAGCCUGAGAAACGGCUACCACAUCCAAGGAUGGCAGCAGGCGCGCAAAUUACCCAAUCCCGACACGGGGAGGUAGUGACAAUAAAUAACAAUACGGGGUUCUUUCGGAUCUCGUAAUUGGAAUGAGUACAAUUUAAAUCUCUUAACGAGGAACAAUUGGAGGGCAAGUCUGGUGCCAGCAGCCGCGGUAAUUCCAGCUCCAAUAGCGUAUAUUAAAGUUGUUGCAGUUAAAAAGCUCGUAGUUGAAUUUCGGGGUUAGUAGGUUGGUCAUGCCUCUGGUAUGUACUGGUCUCACUGAUUCCUCCUUCCUGAUGAACCGUAAUGCCAUUAAUUUGGUGUUGCGGGGAAUUUGGACUGUUACUUUGAAAAAAUUAGAGUGUUUAAAGCAAGCUAACGCUUGAAUACAUUAGCAUGGAAUAAUGAAAUAGGACGUUCGAUCCUAUUUUGUUGGUUUCUAGGAUUGACGUAAUGAUUAAUAGGGAUAGUUGGGGGCAUUAGUAUUCAAUUGUCAGAGGUGAAAUUCUUGGAUUUAUUGAAGACUAACUACUGCGAAAGCAUUUGCCAAGGAUGUUUUCAUUAAUCAAGAACGAAAGUUAGGGGAUCGAAGACGAUCAGAUACCGUCGUAGUCUUAACCAUAAACUAUGCCGACUAGGGAUCGGAUGAUGUUAAUUUUUUAAUGACUCAUUCGGCGCCUUACGGGAAACCAAA